This 24-nucleotide non-coding RNA is filed under the name Arabidopsis thaliana (thale cress). Lineage: Eukaryota; Viridiplantae; Streptophyta; Magnoliopsida; Brassicales; Brassicaceae. The record is from RNAcentral.
ACCAUGAGGUCGAGUGUCUUCACC